AGUGAGCGCUGGCGGUAGGCCUAACACAUGCAAGUCGAACGGCAGCACAGUAAGAGCUUGCUCUUACGGGUGGCGAGUGGCGGACGGGUGAGGAAUACAUCGGAAUCUACUUUUUCGUGGGUGAUAACGUAGGGAAACUUACGCUACUACCGCAUACGACCUACGGGUGAAAGCAGGGGAUCUUCGGACCUUUCGCGCUUUCAUGAGCCGAUGUCGGAUUAGCUAGUUGGCGGGGUAAAGGCCCACCAAGGCGACGAGCCGUAGCUGGUCUGAGAGGAUGAUCAGCCACACUGGAACGGAGAAACGGUCCAGACUCCUACGGGAGGCAGCAGUGGGGAAUAUUGGAAAAGGGGCGCAAGCCUGAUCCAGCCAUACCGCGUGGGUGAAGAAGGCCUUCGGGUGGUAAAGCCCGUUUGUUGGGAAAGAAAAGCAGCAGGUUAAUACCCCGCUGUUCUGACGGUACCCAAAGAAUAAGCACCGGCUAACUUCGUG
RNAcentral lists this ribosomal RNA (492 nucleotides) under uncultured bacterium. RNAcentral describes it as "partial 16S ribosomal RNA". It matches the Rfam family "Bacterial small subunit ribosomal RNA", at positions 29 to 507 of the family's 1533-position model. The record is from RNAcentral.